This 216-nucleotide ribosomal RNA is filed under the name uncultured soil bacterium. RNAcentral's name for it is "partial 16S ribosomal RNA". It matches the Rfam family "Bacterial small subunit ribosomal RNA", at positions 26 to 240 of the family's 1533-position model. The record is from RNAcentral.
AGAUUGAACGCUGGCGGCAUGCCUUACACAUGCAAGUCGAACGGCAGCACGGGAGCAAUCCUGGUGGCGAGUGGCGAACGGGUGAGUAAUACAUCGGAACGUGCCCAGUCGGUGGGGGAUAGCCCGGCGAAAGCCGGAUUAAUACCGCAUACGACCUACGGGUGAAAGGCGGGGGAUCCGCAAGACCUCGCGCGAUUGGAGCGGCCGAGUGGCAGA